GAGAGGAACUGAACUUUAUUGCAAGAUAUUAUCUUCAGUAGCGUAGCAUAAUAUCUACAUGGCAAAAAUAAAUAAGAUUAAAUACAUUCAAUAAAAUAAAGAAUAAAUGAUUUACAUAAAACUAAUAAAGCUACCACUUUAUAUUACAAAUGAUGAUUACCUACCUUCAUCAAUAGAAGAAAUAGACAUUGAAUUUCUAGAAUAUUCCUCGACAAAACUAUUGCCUCCAGAAACUCUGGCAAUGCCAGUGCUUGUACUGCUAGGAUUGGAAUUGGUAUUAGUAUUAGUAUUAUUGUUAGUGUUGGUGAAAGCAGAAGUUCCAGUAGUUGUCCAAUGUCCUCGACGGCCUUGAAUUCCAGGUUUACCAGGUAUAGGCAGAGUAAAUGAGUCGCUCACAAGCAUGAGAUGAACAGAGUUCAUAUCAGGCCUAUCCGAAACACUUUGUUGACAGCAUAACAAUCCUAGUUGAAUGCACAUUGCUGCCUCGUCACGAUUGCACUUAGCAAGACUGGGGUCAACCAAAUCUAACGUCUUUCCUCCUUGAUAAAGCCUCCAUGUCUGUUUGAAAAAAGCAAAAGAAAAAAAAAUAUUAUGAAAAAGAAAAAAAGAUCAAACCAAUUGACUCAGCUCCAGUGAAGAUGGGAGGGGGUUGGUAGUCGUUCAAAAGCAACACUAGAAUUGCAGACUAGCAACUCAAAGCUUGAUAGACAUUCUAAAAUUUGGAAAAAUUUUAUUUUAAUACUAUUUAUAUGCAGACUUAUCCUUCUGAUGUAUGUCUAAGCCAUAAAUCUUGACUUGACAGUUGACCACAUUGCUAUUCUCAGCCAUCUUCAAUUUUUCAUUUCAUUUGUCUCAUACUUGUGCCUCUUAGCUCUCAUAAACACAUAGGUCGAAUAGUAAGUGGCUUAAACAUGUACACCAAUACUGCUACCUAACACAGCCUUAGUUUUGCAUUUUAUGCGUUAGAUUGCCCAUUAUAGAAUUUUUUUUUUCUUUUUAUUUGAGG
RNAcentral lists this unclassified non-coding RNA (1006 nucleotides) under Hevea brasiliensis (rubber tree). Lineage: Eukaryota; Viridiplantae; Streptophyta; Magnoliopsida; Malpighiales; Euphorbiaceae. The record is from RNAcentral.